AGCGAACGCUGGCGGCAGGCCUAACACAUGCAAGUCGAACGAACUCUUCGGAGUUAGUGGCGGACGGGUGAGUAACACGUGGGAACGUGCCUUUUGGUUCGGAAUAACUCAGGGAAACUUGUGCUAAUACCGAAUAUGCCCUUCGGGGGAAAGAUUUAUCGCCAUUAGAGCGGCCCGCGUCUGAUUAGCUAGUUGGUGAGGUAACGGCUCACCAAGGCGACGAUCAGUAGCUGGUCUGAGAGGAUGACCAGCCACACUGGGACUGAGACACGGCCCAGACUCCUACGGGAGGCAGCAGUGGGGAAUCUUGCGCAAUGGGCGAAAGCCUGACGCAGCCAUGCCGCGUGAAUGAUGAAGGUCUUAGGAUUGUAAAAUUCUUUCACCGGGGACGAUAAUGACGGUACCCGGAGAAGAAGCCCCGGCUAACUUCGUG
This 433-nucleotide ribosomal RNA is filed under the name uncultured bacterium. Its description in RNAcentral is "partial 16S ribosomal RNA". It matches the Rfam family "Bacterial small subunit ribosomal RNA", at positions 29 to 507 of the family's 1533-position model. The record is from RNAcentral.